AGUGAACGCUGGCGGCAGGCCUAACACAUGCAAGUCGAACGGCAGCACAGUAAGAGCUUGCUCUUACGGGUGGCGAGUGGCGGACGGGUGAGGAAUACAUCGGAAUCUACUUUUUCGUGGGGGAUAACGUAGGGAAACUUACGCUAAUACCGCAUACGACCUACGGGUGAAAGCAGGGGAUCUUCGGACCUUGCGCGAUUGAAUGAGCCGAUGUCGGAUUAGCUAGUUGGCGGGGUAAAGGCCCACCAAGGCGACGAUCCGUAGCUGGUCUGAGAGGAUGAUCAGCCACACUGGAACUGAGACACGGUCCAGACUCCUACGGGAGACAGCAGUGGGGAAUAUUGGACAAUGGGCGCAAGCCUGAUCCAGCCAUACCGCGUGGGUGAAGAAGGCCUUCGGGUUGUAAAGCCCUUUUGUUGGGAAAGAAAAGCAGCAGGUUAAUACCCCGCUGUUCUGACGGUACCCAAAGAAUAAGCACCGGCUAACUUCGUG
RNAcentral lists this ribosomal RNA (492 nucleotides) under uncultured bacterium. RNAcentral describes it as "partial 16S ribosomal RNA". It matches the Rfam family "Bacterial small subunit ribosomal RNA", at positions 29 to 507 of the family's 1533-position model. The record is from RNAcentral.